UACGGCCAUAUCACAUUGAAAACUGGUUCUCAUCUAAUCACCAAAGUUAAGCAACUUUGAGCCUGCUCAGUACCAAGAUGGGUGGCCUCUUGGGAAUACCAGGUGCUGUAAG
Acanthosepion pharaonis is the source of this 112-nucleotide non-coding RNA. Lineage: Eukaryota; Metazoa; Mollusca; Cephalopoda; Sepiida; Sepiidae. The record is from the annotation of a GenBank genome assembly.